This 484-nucleotide ribosomal RNA is filed under the name uncultured bacterium. RNAcentral describes it as "partial 16S ribosomal RNA". It matches the Rfam family "Bacterial small subunit ribosomal RNA", at positions 30 to 507 of the family's 1533-position model. The record is from RNAcentral.
AUUGAACGCUGGCGGCAGGCCUAACACAUGCAAGUCGAGCGGAUGAAGGGAGCUUGCUCCUGGAUUCAGCGGCGGACGGGUGAGUAAUGCCUAGGAAUCUGCCUGGUAGUGGGGGAUAACGUCCGGAAACGGGCGCUAAUACCGCAUACGUCCUGAGGGAGAAAGUGGGGGAUCUUCGGACCUCACGCUAUCAGAUGAGCCUAGGUCGGAUUAGCUAGUUGGUGGGGUAAAGGCCUACCAAGGCGACGAUCCGUAACUGGUCUGAGAGGAUGAUCAGUCACACUGGAACUGAGACACGGUCCAGACUCCUACGGGAGGCAGCAGUGGGGAAUAUUGGACAAUGGGCGAAAGCCUGAUCCAGCCAUGCCGCGUGUGUGAAGAAGGUCUCCGGAUUGUAAAGCACUUUAAGUUGGGAGGAAGGGCAGUAAGUUAGUACCUUGCUGUUUUGACGUUACCAACAGAAUAAGCACCGGCUAACUUCGUG